UACGUAGGGUGCAAGCGUUAAUCGGAAUUACUGGGCGUAAAGCGUGCGCAGGCGGUUAUGUAAGACCGUUGGGAAAUCCCCGGGCUCAACCUGGGACCUGCAUUUGUGACUGCAUCGCUAGAGUACGGUAGAGGGGGAUGGAAUUCCGCGUGUAGCAGUGAAAUGCGUAGAUAUGCGGAGGAACACCGAUGGCGAAGGCAAUCCCCUGGACCUGUACUGACGCUCAUGCACGAAAGCGUGGGGAGCAAACAGG
This 253-nucleotide ribosomal RNA is filed under the name uncultured bacterium. RNAcentral describes it as "partial 16S ribosomal RNA". It matches the Rfam family "Bacterial small subunit ribosomal RNA", at positions 524 to 776 of the family's 1533-position model. The record is from RNAcentral.